CCGCGCCAGCACAGCGCCGAAGUUGGGCCAGGCGUCCACUGCCACCUCGAAGUCCCCGGGGUUGCCGCGGUUGAUGUUCAGCACGGCCCCAUACACCGGCAGGGCGUCAGGCAGGCUGCUGCGCAGGGCGUCCUCCAGGUGCUGCAGGUGGGCCGGGCACGUCAGGAUCCGCAUGGCCCUGCAGGGGAGCCGACAGCGAGGGUGAGUGAAGGCAAAGACCCCGGGAUGGUCCCUGUACAGGGGAGUCCGCUUCUGGGAAAUAAAAGGAGGGAGGAACCCUUACUUCAGAGACGGAGUUCGGGGACUCCUUUACUAGAAAUAGGAAGCACCUGGGAGGAGUUUGGUGGAAAGGGGCAAGGCUUUUCUUAGCAGCAGCACGGUGUGAAGGAGGGGGCCCGUGGGGUUGCAGGUCUGAAGCCUUCCAAUAAGAACCCAGACCAAUGAGCACAAAGGAAAUCAUAUUCAAAAAGACUCAGAGGACUGAGAAACAGGAAACCAUUCGUGGUCUUAGCGUAUGCACUAACGUGUAUAACUAACGUGCAGCAUAGCACGACCCGCUGUCUGGAAUGAGUUACCAUGACAUGCUUGGCUGAACUAUGAGCGUGCAC
This 608-nucleotide long non-coding RNA is filed under the name Gallus gallus (chicken). The record is from RNAcentral. Lineage: Eukaryota; Metazoa; Chordata; Aves; Galliformes; Phasianidae.